UGGCGGACGGGUGAGUAACACGUGGGUAACCUGCCCUUUAGCGGGGGAUAACACUUGGAAACAGGUGCUAAUACCGCAUAAUCUUUUUUCUCGCAUGAGUAAAAAGUGAAAGACGCUUUUGCGUCACUAAAGGAUGGACCCGCGCUGCAUUAGCUAGUUGGUGAGGUAACGGCUCACCAAGGCCACGAUGCAUAGCCGACCUGAGAGGGUGAUCGGCCACACUGGGACUGAGACACGGCCCAGACUCCUACGGGAGGCAGCAGUAGGGAAUCUUCGGCAAUGGACGAAAGUCUGACCGAGCAACGCCGCGUGAGUGAAGAAGGUUUUCGGAUCGUAAAACUCUGUUGUUAGAGAAGAAUAAGGAUGAGAGUAGAAUGUUCAUCCCUUGACGGUAUCUAACCAGAAAGCCACGGCUAACUACGUGCCAGCAGCCGCGGUAAUACGUAGGUGGCAAGCGUUGUCCGGAUUUAUUGGGCGUA
RNAcentral lists this ribosomal RNA (479 nucleotides) under uncultured bacterium. RNAcentral describes it as "bacterial SSU rRNA". It matches the Rfam family "Bacterial small subunit ribosomal RNA", at positions 96 to 562 of the family's 1533-position model. The record is from RNAcentral.